GUCCAGAAAAUGAAUUUUAGUUCAGCUUUAAAGAUACCAAAAAUAUAAAUAAAUUUUACUGUAUUUUUAAAAGUUAGUCUAAAAAGGUUCAGCCUUUUAGAAAUGGAUACAACCUUCACUAGAGAGUAAGACUUUACAACACCAUAGUAGGCCUAAAAGCAGCCAUCAAUUAAGAAAGCGUUAAAGCUCAACAAUAAAAACAAAAUUAAUCCCAACAAUAGUACAACUAACUCCUAGACCUAAUACUGGACCACUCUAUUAUUAAAUAGAAGCAAUAAUGUUAAUAUGAGUAACAAGAAAUAUUUUCUCCCUGCACAAGUUUAAGUCAGUAUCUGAUAAUAUUCUGACUGUUAACAGUAAAUAAAAACAACCUAACGAUAAAUAAUUUAUUAAUUAUACUGUUAACCCAACACAGGAGUGCACCCAGGAAAGAUUAAAAGAAGUAAAAGGAACUCGGCAAACACAAACCCCGCCUGUUUACCAAAAACAUCACCUCCAGCAUUUCCAGUAUUGGAGGCACUGCCUGCCCAGUGACUAAACGUUAAACGGCCGCGGUAUUCUGACCGUGCAAAGGUAGCAUAAUCAUUUGUUCUCUAAAUAAGGACUUGUAUGAACGGCCACACGAGGGUUUUACUGUCUCUUACUUCCAAUCAGUGAAAUUGACCUCCCCGUGAAGAGGCGGGAAUGAAUUAACAAGACGAGAAGACCCUAUGGAGCUUUAACUAACUAGUCCAAAAGAAAUAAAUUUAACCACCAAGGGAUAACAACAUCCUUUAUGGACUAGCAGUUUUGGUUGGGGUGACCUCGGAGAACAAGAGAUCCUCCGAGCGAUUUUAAAGACUAGACUUACAAGUCAAAUCAAAUUAUCGCUUAUUGAUCCAAAAAACUUGAUCAACGGAACAAGUUACCCUAGGGAUAACAGCGCAAUCCUAUUCAAGAGUCCAUAUCGACAAUAGGGUUUACGACCUCGAUGUUGGAUCAGGACAUCCUGAUGGUGCAACCGCUAUCAAAGGUUCGUUUGUUCAACGAUUAAAG
Molecule: ribosomal RNA, 1035 nt
Filed under: Capra hircus (goat)
Lineage: Eukaryota; Metazoa; Chordata; Mammalia; Artiodactyla; Bovidae
Description: partial 16S ribosomal RNA
Rfam family: Bacterial large subunit ribosomal RNA
Source: RNAcentral